RNAcentral lists this ribosomal RNA (504 nucleotides) under uncultured bacterium. RNAcentral describes it as "partial 16S ribosomal RNA". It matches the Rfam family "Bacterial small subunit ribosomal RNA", at positions 28 to 507 of the family's 1533-position model. The record is from RNAcentral.
GACGAACGCUGGCGGCGUGCUUAACACAUGCAAGUCGAACGGUGAAGCGCUUGCCUUUUUGGUGGGUGUGGAUGAGUGGCGAACGGGUGAGUAACACGUGAGUAACCUGCCCUCUUCUUCUGGAUAACCUCAUGAAAGUGGUGCUAAUACGGGGUAUUCCGGGUCUGUCGCAUGGCGGGUUUGGGAAAGAUUGCGCCUUUGGGUGUUUUCGGUGGGGGAUGGGCUCGCGGCCUAUCAGCUUGUUGGUGGGGUGAUGGCCUACCAAGGCGGUGACGGGUAGCCGGCCUGAGAGGGUGGACGGCCACACUGGGACUGAGACACGGCCCAGACGACUGCGGGAGGCAGCAGUGGGGAAUAUUGCACAAUGGGCGCAAGCCUGAUGCAGCGACGCCGCGUGAGGGAUGGAGGCCUUCGGGUUGUGAACCUCUUUCGCCAGUGAAGCAGGCCUGCUCCUGUGUGGGUGGGUUGACGGUAGCUGGAUAAGAAGCGCCGGCUAACUACGUG